This 706-nucleotide ribosomal RNA is filed under the name Mesorhizobium sp. RNAcentral's name for it is "partial 23S ribosomal RNA". It matches the Rfam family "Bacterial large subunit ribosomal RNA", at positions 2174 to 2925 of the family's 2925-position model. The record is from RNAcentral. Lineage: Bacteria; Pseudomonadati; Pseudomonadota; Alphaproteobacteria; Hyphomicrobiales; Phyllobacteriaceae.
GUCUGCGUGGAGCCAACCUUGAAAUACCACCCUUUAAUGGCUGGUGUUCUAACGUAGACCCGUAAUCCGGGUUGCGGACAGUGUCUGGUGGGUAGUUUGACUGGGGCGGUCUCCUCCCAAAGAGUAACGGAGGAGCACGAAGGUUAGCUAAUCCUGGUCGGACAUCAGGAGGUUAGUGCAAUGGCAUAAGCUAGCUUGACUGCGAGAGUGACGGCUCGAGCAGGUGCGAAAGCAGGUCAUAGUGAUCCGGUGGUUCUGAAUGGAAGGGCCAUCGCUCAACGGAUAAAAGGUACUCCGGGGAUAACAGGCUGAUACCGCCCAAGAGUUCAUAUCGACGGCGGUGUUUGGCACCUCGAUGUCGGCUCAUCACAUCCUGGGGCUGAAGUAGGUCCCAAGGGUAUGGCUGUUCGCCAUUUAAAGUGGUACGCGAGCUGGGUUUAGAACGUCGUGAGACAGUUCGGUCCCUAUCUGCCGUGGACGUUUGAGAUUUGAGAGGGGCUGACCUUAGUACGAGNNNNNNNNNNAACCGCUGAAAGCAUCUAAGCGGGAAACUUGCCUCAAGAUGAGAUCUCACUGGAGCCUCGAGCUCCCUGAAGGGCCGUCGAAGACUACGACGUUGAUAGGUCGGGUGUGUAAGCGCAGCGAUGCGUUGAGCUAACCGAUACUAAUGAACCGUGAGGCUUAACCUUACAACGCCGAAGCUGUU